Molecule: ribosomal RNA, 331 nt
Filed under: uncultured bacterium
Lineage: Bacteria
Description: bacterial SSU rRNA
Rfam family: Bacterial small subunit ribosomal RNA
Source: RNAcentral
AGGGUUCGAUUCUGGCUCAGGACGAACGCUGGCGGCGCGCCUAACACAUGCAAGUCGAACGAGAGAUGAGGAGCUUGCUCUUCAGAUCGAGUGGCGAACGGGUGAGUAACGCGUGAGGAACCUGCCUCAAAGAGGGGGACAACAGUUGGAAACGACUGCUAAUACCGCAUAAGCCCACGGCUCGGCAUCGAGCAGAGGGAAAAGGAGUGAUCCGCUUUGAGAUGGCCUCGCGUCCGAUUAGCUGGUUGGUGAGGUAACGGCCCACCAAGGCGACGAUCGGUAGCCGGACUGAGAGGUUGAACGGCCACAUUGGGACUGAGACACGGCCCAG